GACGAACGCUGGCGGCGUGCUUAACACAUGCAAGUCGAACGAUGACGACCGAGCUUGCUCGGUCUGAUUAGUGGCGAACGGGUGAGUAACACGUGAGCAACCUGCCCUUCACUCUGGGAUAACCUCGGGAAAUCGGGGCUAAUACCGGAUAUGAGCUCCUGUCGCAUGGCGGGUGUUGGAAAGUUUUUCGGUGAAGGAUGGGCUCGCGGCCUAUCAGUUUGUUGGUGAGGUAGUGGCUCACCAAGGCGAUGACGGGUAGCCGGCCUGAGAGGGCGACCGGCCACACUGGGACUGAGACACGGCCCAGACUCCUACGGGAGGCAGCAGUGGGGAAUAUUGCACAAUGGGCGAAAGCCUGAUGCAGCGACGCCGCGUGAGGGAUGACGGCCUUCGGGUUGUAAACCUCUUUCAGCAGGGAAGAAGCGAAAGUGACGGUACCUGCAGAAGAAGCGCCGGCGAACUACGU
RNAcentral lists this ribosomal RNA (466 nucleotides) under uncultured bacterium. RNAcentral's name for it is "partial 16S ribosomal RNA". It matches the Rfam family "Bacterial small subunit ribosomal RNA", at positions 28 to 506 of the family's 1533-position model. The record is from RNAcentral.